AUGUACUGUUUGUACAUUCCGGCUCCUGCGCUCCGGGCGCGCCCAACCUGACUGCGCUCGCGACAUUUUUUAAGAC
RNAcentral lists this small RNA (76 nucleotides) under Methylophilales bacterium RIFCSPHIGHO2_02_FULL_57_10. RNAcentral's name for it is "sX9 sRNA". It matches the Rfam family "Xanthomonas sRNA sX9". The record is from RNAcentral. Lineage: Bacteria; Pseudomonadati; Pseudomonadota; Betaproteobacteria; Nitrosomonadales.